RNAcentral lists this long non-coding RNA (5650 nucleotides) under Salmo salar (Atlantic salmon). Its description in RNAcentral is "lncRNA (ENSSSAG00000095874.1, ENSSSAG00000099217.1)". The record is from RNAcentral. Lineage: Eukaryota; Metazoa; Chordata; Actinopteri; Salmoniformes; Salmonidae.
GAAAAACAACUUUAUAUCGGAGUUGUCUCGAGAUGGCUAUGCAUUUUCGUGGCAUAAGGCUAGUAAUCAUAUCAUUUCUCCAUUGAAUACAGACGGUCGACGUAAACAACCCUCGUCGAAUAUUCAAUGCUGGAUUACAAUAAUGAGAUGCAUCCACCAAUCCAAAGAAAGGAAAGGCGGAAGUUAGGCAGCCCGGUGAGUCGCUUUGUGGACAACGACUCCCAUCGUUAGGUCCGGAGAGACAUAUAUAAACCUGUCAGUAUAGCCAUAAUCUUUGAUAAUAAAAGUAAAUGAACAAAGAAGUAGACCAGACCCAGCUGCUAUUGCAUUUGGUGUCUAUAAGAGACAUCUCGUUAAGUAGACCGGAACUGACCUUUUUUUGUUGUUGUUGUAAACGGCGAGUGAACCAUCUUAAUUUAUCCACCAUCUUUGGUGUGUUCAGGAGGAAGUGGAACAUGUAAACACACAACAAUGUCAGCCGUAGACCUAGUGCUCUGCAGCCAGACCUUACUUCUGCACAGUUAUCAAGCUAUAUCAGACCCAUAUCCAUCCAUACAGAACACUUGUCGGCUCUGCGGUCAAAAUCUGCUCAUCAAGGGGACAUUACAGGCAACACGAAGAAUAUUUGACAAGCCUAAAGCCUCAAAGGAAAAAGGUUAUGUGAUAGAUUCCUUGCCACCGGUUUAGUGCUAACUGAAGCACCAGGGGUGAAAUCGGGCAGAAUUUGUGCAAAGUGUUAUAGACUAUUUCUCAGGAUAGAGGAAUCUGUAAGCGUUUUAAAGAAAUGGCAAUCGGAGCAUCAGACACCGGGGACGAGCAAGAAGAGGAAGCGUGAACGGGAACCGAGUCCAUCUGAAACAGACAAGGGAACCAAGAAGACAUCUGAACGGGAACCGAGUCCAUCUGGAACAGACAAGGGAGCCAAGAAGACAUCUGAACGGGAACCGAGUCCAUCUGAAACAGACCGGGCUGCCAAGAAGACAUGUCCUCCCUAUAAAAAGGUUCCCCCGAGGAGCAGUCUUGUCGAGGUUGUCAUAACAUACCCUAACCAAUUGGAUCCAAAGCUGAAAAAGAGGGUUGAGAAGGUUUCAUCCGAAUUUUCCGGAAUGGUUGAAAACUUGGCAAAAGGCAAAUUGACGACAUUUGUCAGGUUAGCCUUGACGAAUGAAACCAUGUGUCAAGAAAUCAGAAAGCAGAUGACACAGAAAAUAGAAGCAGAGGUCAAGGCAUAUGCAAGACCCUUAAAUUACCUGACUUGUGCUGAACCUUGCAUCUUGAGUAGUACCUCGUUGGAGAAUAUGAAGUGUUUUUCAUACAAAGCGUUGGAUGAUGAGUUGUCCAAGAAGACACCAUGGCUUUAUACCACCAUCAAUACUGCAACAGGUGGAUCCACCAUCCAUAACUGUGUAGCCGCCUCUGUGGCCCUGAGAGGUAGAAACCCCAGGCUUUCUGCACUGGCCUAUGUCAUCAACUCCACACUGACCCAAGGAGGGGUUAAGCCCAUUUUCAAAAGACUCUCUAAGAUGGGCAUAACAACCACACACAGCAAUGUCCUAAAUAAGCAGAAAGAGAUGAAGGCAGCUGGGUACAACAUCAACAUCAAAUGCUGGAGGGAGGACUGUGAGCUGUUUUUCCAACAUAGUAUCAACGGUGAAGUCUGCCCACGACCACCUCCUACUGCUAAACCGACAGAGGAGACCGGAAGAGAGGAAGAAGAGGAGGAGGACAAGGGUCCAGUGGAGGAUGAGUUUGAAAUAGAGCUGGACUGGGGUCCACUGGAGGAAGAGGGUGAAGGAGAUGAGGAAGAGUGGAGUCCACUGUCAGAAGAGACAGAAAGAGAGGAGGACAGAGGAUCUACAGUGGAGGAAGAGAGAGGAGAGGAGAAAGCCCGGGGUUCCCUGCUAGGAGAGACAGAAAGAGAGGAAGAGGGACAAACAUUAUCAGCACUAGAAGGAAAUGACAGACAGGAAGAGGAUUCUGAUUCAACAGUGGAUUCAGAGACUGAAUACUUUGGAUUAAACCUCACCUGUGAGAGUGAUUAGAGAAGUAGCCUAACAAAGAGUCUGUAGAUUACAGAUCUAGACCUGGGCUACAUCUCUGAACAACAAGGCCCUAAUCAUAGAAUACAUCCCAAAUGGCACCCUAUUCCCUUUAUAGUGCACUACUUUUGACCAGGGCCAUUUGGGACAGAAUCAUACAGUGAAAUUACUCAUGUUGAGGGGGGUCAGGAUGUGAGGUCUACUGUUCCUGGUGUAUUGAGGGGGUCAGGAUGUGAGGUCUACUGUUCCUGGUGUAUUGAGGGGUCAGGAUGUGAGGUCUACUGUUCCUGGUGUAUUGAGGGGGUCAGGAUGUGAGGUCUACUGUUCCUGGUGUAUUGAGGGGUCAGGAUGUGAGGUCUACUGUUCCUGGUGUGUUGAGGGGGUCAGGAUGUGAUGUCUACUGUUCCUGGUGUAUUGAGGGGUCAGGAUGUGAGGUCUACUGUUCCUGGUGUAUUGAGGGGUUAGGAUGUGAGGUCUACUGUUCCUGGUGUGUUGAGGGGGUCAGGAUGUGAGUACAGUGUGUUGAGGGGGUCAGGAUGUGAGUACAGUGUGUUGAGGGGGUCAGGAUGUGAGUACAGUGUGUUGAGGGGGUCAGGAUGUGAGUACAGUGUGUUGAGGGGUCAGGAUGUGAGUACAGUGUGUAUUGAGGGGUCAGGAUGUGAGUACAGUGUGUUGAGGGGGUCAGGAUGUGAGUACAGUGUGUUGAGGGGGUCAGGAUGUGAGUACAGUGUGUUUACAACGGUAUUAAAGAGACCAGCUCCAUUUAGAUGUUCAAUUCAAACUUUAUUUUUUGUUAUUUGGUACUUCCCCAAAUGGCACCCUAUUCCCUAUAUAGGAUUCUGGUCAGAAGGAAUGCACUGAAUGAAUAGGGUGUCAUUUGUGACGAAACCCUUGAAUAGAAAAAUGAAUAAAAAAUAAACCUAUAUCCAGUAUUCCAUAGAGGGGUCUGUUCAUGUCUGGGUUAUUGUUCAGGAAACAGAGGUCUUACCUGAACCUGUCCAAUAAGAACACAGGUUUUUGUUUUGCUACAUCGUGUUCUACUGAAUAGGACCCUGUUACCACGACACUAUCAAUGAUGUCACGGUCACAUGUUUGGCCUGUAGCCCUCAGGGACAGGUCUGUGUUCUUGUGGCUGGGACAGAUGGCGUCUCCAGGUUAGGGUAUGGUAAGGUGCCUGGGAACCACAAACAUCCACUUUGUUAUGUCCAUGUUGUUAUAAUUAUAUUUAAUUUGGGAUUUGUUCUCAAUUAAUUAUCUGGGUAAAUAAAGGUUAGACGAACACAAGAUUUGACCUGUCUUUAUCAUGAUGGACACCAGGCAGCCACCCAUACAGCCUUGUAAAUGAUGAUGGCAGACAUUUUGUUUUCCAAAACUCACCAAAUGUCUGCAUCUCCCACAGCACGAUGCCAAAUGCCCACACGUCCCCCUUGAAGCUGUAAUAGUUGGUUUUCUGACCGGCCAGGUCACAGUGCACCCACCACCUGUAAGUACAGGUCAGAGAUCAGGACUAAUAAAUGUUCUGUAGCUGUGUGUAUGGGUUACUGUCUGUAAGAAAUGAUCGUAGGUCACAGUGCACCACCUGGAACACAGACCCCAGAUCAUUUACUGUCUGUCUAAUGUCAGGUCCCAAACCAGUAAUGCAGGUGGCAGUUGGUGUCAUAAGGAAUGAGUGGGAGGAGGAGGAAACUGGCUUCCAUUUUGGAUCGGAGGUGUUCCAUGGCCAGUGUGAUGUGAUAAGAGGUGAUGGUGAGCAGGCUCUGUAGCUCAGGGUCAGGGGUCAUCUCGUCUCUGUGGGUCUGAAGGAAGCGCCAACACACAGGACUCUGGGAGAACUACACACAGGACUCUGGGAGAUCGACACACAGGACUCUGGGAGAACGACACACAGGGCUCUGGGAGAUCGACACACAGGACUCUGGGAGAACGACACACAGGACUCUGGGAGAACGACACACAGGACUCUGGGAGAUCGACACACAGGACUCUGGGAGAUCAACACACAGGACUCUGGGAGAUCAACACACAGGACUCUGGGAGAUCACCACAUAACACAGAAUUCAUGAUGUUGUAGUAAAUAUGUUAUAGAUGUGCCACUCGUUUCUAUUCCUUAUGGAGACUAAUAUAAAUAAUAACGACUCCCAAAGUGGUAGAUUAUCACACAGUAUUUUUUUCUUAUUUUGGUCAUGGGAGGAUGGUCAGUUUCUCAUUUGGGUCUCAGGCUGAAAAAGUUUAAGAACCCCAAAUGUAGGGAAUAGGCUGCCAUUUGAGAUACAAACUGUGUGACCUUACCCCCACUAAAGCAGUGUCUCGUUGCCCCCUCAGUCUCAAUGGACAUUUCAUCUCUGGUCAUUAUGGGUAUAAGAUUAUCAAGGAGUGGACUGGUGGUAGCCUAGCCUAGCGUUCCCUCUUUGAUGAGCUGGUGGUAGCCUAGCCUAGUGUUCCCUCUGAUCUGGUGGUAGCGUAGCCUAGCGUUCCCUCUGUGGUGUUCCCUCUUUGAUGAGCUGGUGGUAGCCUAGUGUUCCCUCUUUGGUGAUCUGGUGGUAGCCUAGCCUAGUGUUCCCUCUUUGGUGAUCUGGUGGUAGCGUAGCCUAGCGUUCCCUCUUUGGUGAUCUGGUGGUAGCGUAGCCUAGCGUUCCCUCUUUGGUGGUCUGGUGGUAGCGUAGCCUAGCGUUCCCUCUUUGGUGAUCUGGUGGUAGCGUAGCCUAGCGUUCCCUCUUUGGUGAUCUGGUGGUAGCGUAGCCUAGCGUUCCCUCUUUGGUGAUCUGGUGGUAGCGUAGCCUAGCGUUCCCUCUUUGGUGGUCUGGUGGUAGCGUAGCCUAGCGUUCCCUCUUUGGUGGUCUGGUGGUAGCGUAGCCUAGCUUUCCCUCUUUGGUGAUCUGGUGGUAGCGUAGCCUAGCGUUCCCUCUUUGGUGAUCUGGUGGUAGCGUAGCCUAGCGUUCCCUCUUUGGUGAUCUGGUGGUAGCGUAGCCUAGCGUUCCCUCUUUGGUGGUCUGGUGGUAGCGUAGCCUAGCGUUCCCUCUUUGGUGAUCUGGUGGUAGCGUAGCCUAGCGUUCCCUCUUUGGUGAUCUGGUGGUAGCGUAGCCUAGCGUUCCCUCUUUGGUGGUCUGGUGGUAGCGUAGCCUAGCGUUCCCUCUUUGGUGAUCUGGUGGUAGCGUAGCCUAGCGUUCCCUCUUUGGUGAUCUGGUGGUAGCUCCUCAGGGCCCUCUCUCUCCCCAGCUUCUCUCUCCCCAGGCUCUCUGCUCCUGAGGGCCCUCUCUUUCCCCAGCCUCUCCUCAGGGCCCUACCCACCCGUUUAACCCUACCCACCCCACCCGUCUAACCCUACCUACCUGUCUAACCCUACCCACCUACCUACCCACCUGUCCUCUUAAAAGAGCACCUGGUGAGGCUACAUCCGUUCCAUAACACUCCACAUUAAACUGUAAACUGGCACUGCCCAACAAUAGACAGACGUCGUCUCGGCCUAACUCACCGAAUCGCUGUAAACAAGAGACCCGAAAGCCUGCUAUUGUGUUUCUCUGCCAGUAUCUGAGAGAAAGUCAGAACCCUUGAAGAGAAGACACUCGUUGAGAGAAAAACAGACAUACAUUAAACACAUCAUGCGGUGUUAU